RNAcentral lists this transfer RNA (75 nucleotides) under Candidatus Colicola coprequi. RNAcentral's name for it is "tRNA-Thr". It matches the Rfam family "tRNA". From Rfam's summary of the family: Transfer RNA (tRNA) molecules are approximately 80 nucleotides in length. The record is from RNAcentral. Lineage: Bacteria; Pseudomonadati; Bacteroidota; Bacteroidia; Bacteroidales; Paludibacteraceae.
GCUGCUUUAGCUCAGUGGUAGAGCGCAUCCUUGGUAAGGAUGAGGUCCCGUGUUCAACUCUCGGAAGCAGCUCCA